CCUACGGGAGGCUGCAGUGGGGAAUAUUGGACAAUGGGGGGAACCCUGAUCCAGCCAUGCCGCGUGUGUGAAGAAGGCCCUCGGGUUGUAAAGCACUUUCAGUGAGGAAGAACGCCUGGUGGUUAAUACCCAUCAGGAAAGACAUCACUCACAGAAGAAGCACCGGCUAACUCCGUGCCAGCAGCCGCGGUAAUACGGAGGGUGCGAGCGUUAAUCGGAAUUACUGGGCGUAAAGCGCGCGUAUGUGGCUUGAUAAGCCGGUUGUGAAAGCCCCGGGCUCAACCUGGGAACGGCAUCCGGAACUGUCAAGCUAGAGUGCAGGAGAGGAAGGUAGAAUUCCCGGUGUAGCGGUGAAAUGCGUAGAGAUCGGGAGGAAUACCAGUGGCGAAGGCGGCCUUCUGGACUGACACUGACACUGAGGUGCGAAAGCGUGGGUAGCAAACAGGAUUAGAUACCCCGGUAGUC
This 465-nucleotide ribosomal RNA is filed under the name Vreelandella stevensii. RNAcentral's name for it is "partial 16S ribosomal RNA". It matches the Rfam family "Bacterial small subunit ribosomal RNA", at positions 338 to 795 of the family's 1533-position model. Lineage: Bacteria; Pseudomonadati; Pseudomonadota; Gammaproteobacteria; Oceanospirillales; Halomonadaceae. The record is from RNAcentral.